This 1175-nucleotide ribosomal RNA is filed under the name Neodidymelliopsis sp. 2 FTA-2017. RNAcentral describes it as "partial 28S ribosomal RNA". It matches the Rfam family "Eukaryotic large subunit ribosomal RNA", at positions 54 to 1300 of the family's 3401-position model. The record is from RNAcentral. Lineage: Eukaryota; Fungi; Ascomycota; Dothideomycetes; Pleosporales; Didymellaceae.
UAUCAGAGAGACAACAGGGAUUGCCCUAGUAACGGCGAGUGAAGCGGCAACAGCUCAAAUUUGAAAUCUGGCGUCUUUGGCGUCCGAGUUGUAAUUUGCAGAGGGCGCUUUGGCAUCGGCAGCGGUCCAAGUUCCUUGGAACAGGACGUCACAGAGGGUGAGAAUCCCGUACGUGAUCGCUAGCCUUUACCGUGUAAAGCCCCUUCGACGAGUCGAGUUGUUUGGGAAUGCAGCUCUAAAUGGGAGGUAAAUUUCUUCUAAAGCUAAAUACUGGCCAGAGACCGAUAGCGCACAAGUAGAGUGAUCGAAAGAUGAAAAGCACUUUGGAAAGAGAGUUAAAAAGCACGUGAAAUUGUUGAAAGGGAAGCGCUUGCAGCCAGACUUGCCUGUAGUUGCUCAUCCGGGUUUCUACCCGGUGCACUCUUCUAUAGGCAGGCCAGCAUCAGUUUGGGCGGUUGGAUAAAGGUCUCUGUCAUGUACCUCUCUUCGGGGAGAACUUAUAGGGGAGACGACAUGCAACCAGCCCGGACUGAGGUCCGCGCAUCUGCUAGGAUGCUGGCGUAAUGGCUGUAAGCGGCCCGUCUUGAAACACGGACCAAGGAGUCUAACAUCUAUGCGAGUGUUUGGGUGUCAAGCCCGAACGCGUAAUGAAAGUGAACGGAGGUGGGAACCUUUCGGGGUGCACCAUCGACCGAUCCUGAUGUCUUCGGAUGGAUUUGAGUAAGAGCAUAGCUGUUGGGACCCGAAAGAUGGUGAACUAUGCUUGAAUAGGGUGAAGCCAGAGGAAACUCUGGUGGAGCUCGCAGCGGUUCUGACGUGCAAAUCGAUCGUCAAAUUUGGGCAUAGGGGCGAAAGACUAAUCGAACUAUCUAGUAGCUGGUUCCUGCCGAAGUUUCCCUCAGAUAGCAGUAACGUUUUCAGUUUUAUGAGUAAAGCGAAUGAUUAGAGCCCUGGGGGGUGAAACAACUUCACUAUCUCAACUUUAAUAUGUAGAGUCUGUACUGAUGACGUGACAGUGAUGUAUCGUACUAGUGGCAUUUUGUUAGCAGACUGCGAUGCGGAUGAACCGACGCGGGUAGUGCCAGAUUACGCUCAUCGACCCACAACGGUAGUCAUCUAGACGCAGACGUGAUCAUGUAGUCGGUAUCGCUAUGAGUGUUACACUCACUGUCCGA